UCAGUUUCCAGGGCCAUUCUAGCCCUCCAGAGCCGAGUGACAAUGACAAGCAGAACCCCACUAAGCACCAUCACCCCAGUUCACAGUGGGCCUGGGGAUUCCUCAGCUACAUCUUUAUGUCCCGACCGUCCAUCACCUCCACCGCUCCUCGGUACCAACUGUGUACACAUCCCAACUGCUCUGCUUUCAGGCCUCAGCGAAUUCUCUGGCACAAAAUUAAAUGUUCCUUGAGCAAA
This is a long non-coding RNA of Peromyscus eremicus (cactus mouse), 236 nucleotides long. RefSeq lists it as uncharacterized. The record is from RefSeq and is a predicted model, not a curated record. NCBI's taxonomy places the organism in Eukaryota, Metazoa, Chordata, Mammalia, Rodentia, Cricetidae. The transcript has 2 exons.